GCAGUGGUGGUUCAGUGGUAGAAUUCUCACCUUCCAUGUGGGAGACCCAGGUUCGAAUCCUGGCCAAUGCA
Molecule: transfer RNA, 71 nt
Filed under: Trichechus manatus latirostris (Florida manatee)
Lineage: Eukaryota; Metazoa; Chordata; Mammalia; Sirenia; Trichechidae
Description: tRNA-Gly (TCC) (tRNA-Gly-TCC-31-1)
Rfam family: tRNA
About the family: Transfer RNA (tRNA) molecules are approximately 80 nucleotides in length. Their secondary structure includes four short double-helical elements and three loops (D, anti-codon, and T loops).
Source: Rfam by way of RNAcentral